Unclassified non-coding RNA from Pongo abelii (Sumatran orangutan), 148 nucleotides. It matches the Rfam family "Metazoan signal recognition particle RNA". From Rfam's summary of the family: The signal recognition particle (SRP) is a universally conserved ribonucleoprotein. It is involved in the co-translational targeting of proteins to membranes. The record is from Ensembl. NCBI's taxonomy places the organism in Eukaryota, Metazoa, Chordata, Mammalia, Primates, Hominidae.
GCCGGGCGUGGUGGUGGGCACCUGUAAUCCCAGCUACUCGGGAGGCUGAGGCAGGAUAAUUGCUUGAACCCGGGAAUUGGAGGUUGCAGUGAGCUGAGCUCGCACCACUGCACUCUAGCCUGGGUGACAGAGCAAGACUCUGUCUCGA